UUAUCAACCAUUAAGCGUGGCUUGUUGUUGGACUAUUUUGUCGUUGUACGACAGGUCUGAAAGAUAAUGAACGGUGUUAUGGCGACCCUAAAUGCAACGAGCUUUUUACAGCACGCAUUCUAGUGGUCGGCAGGCCCGGUCUUAACCCUUAUUUUCUCAAGGUUGACCUCGGAUCAGGUAGGAAUACCCGCUGAACUUAA
RNAcentral lists this unclassified non-coding RNA (200 nucleotides) under soil metagenome. RNAcentral's name for it is "partial contains internal transcribed spacer 2 and large subunit ribosomal RNA". The record is from RNAcentral.